This is an RNA transcript of Helianthus annuus (common sunflower), 2201 nucleotides long. It is a transcript of the gene named dihydrolipoyllysine-residue acetyltransferase component 4 of pyruvate dehydrogenase complex, chloroplastic, with no coding region annotated. Lineage: Eukaryota; Viridiplantae; Streptophyta; Magnoliopsida; Asterales; Asteraceae. The record is from RefSeq and is a predicted model, not a curated record. The transcript has 4 exons.
AUAUCUAUUAAUAGCUGAGAGGAAAUGAAUAGUGUUUUCUCUUUGUGGAGCAUUUUGAUUGGCAGGGUUUGACGGCUGUUUCAUAGAAUUUUCUCUCCACCGCCUGCUUCCCACCUCCCGCCAGAUCAAUAGGUUUUUCUCUCUCUCAUGAAAACCCUCUGGUUAGAUCCAGCAGCGACGCAACAUGAACAUACUAGAUCAACACAGCCUUGAGAGGUUAGGGUUUGGUAUGGGAUUACGACGGCUAAAACUCGGUGGAUUUCGACAAAUUCCAGUUAGCUUUGGUGAGAAUUGAACCAGGUAUCAAGAAUUAUCAUCUUUGUAUUAUUUCGGAUCUUUUUAUAUGAUUUGGGUUAAUUUUAUUAGCCUUUCUUCCCCACUUGGCCCUUAUUUUCAGAGAAUCGCCAAUUCUUGAUGAACAUUAGGAUUUAGGCACCAUGACCCCUUCUUCUCCAAUAUUCCAUUAUAAAACCCUUUUGUAAGUGUUCUUUUUUGUUGUAAUUUCGAACCCUUUUGUUUUCUCCAAAUGGAUAAUCUUUAAUUUGAUCGGGUUUAGGGUUUUUACAUCUGGGUUUCGAUUAGAUUAUAGUUAUUGAUAUGGGUUUGUUUAUUUGGUCUUUCUUUAUGUCUCUCUAAAAAAAUCGAGAACCCAUCCCACUCUUUAUCGCUUAUAAAUGUGGUGUGGCUUUGAGGUGUGAUAUGGCCUAUUGAAUUGAUGACUACAAGGAGUAUAGGUAUGAUAUAAAUGUUACCCCUUCAUUAACAACAAAUGAAACCAAGAAAUAUAAUUUUACAAUUACUUAUUUAAACAACUGUUUUGAGUUUAUGAAAGGAGACAUUGGCCCAUAUCAAAAUUUACAUGUUACUGAAGCAACUUCCAGCAAGAAAAAAUGGACUGCGAGGUCUGUGUUUUUGGUACAAAGACCAAGACAGGAAGAUUGUUUUGAUCCCGUAUGCGAAGAAAUCGGCGAAACAGUAUAAGGUGGGUAUUAAUAAGGUGACAGGGAUUUGGCCAUUUGGGAGGACUAUUGCAGCUAAAGCGAGAACUGUGUCGGUUAAAAGUGUAGCUCCGGUUGUGGCAGAACCUGUGGAUGCUACUACUACCGUUCCAGUGAAAUCGGCACCUGCAUUACUGGCUAUAUAUGGAGCGACUAUUCUUCCAUUUACGAUGUUGCAGGUUGCAUUGCCGAAGAAUAUGAUUGAGAGUUUGUAUGUGCCAACGUUUCGGGUUGGUUAUCCUGUUUGACGGAUGCUCUUGAUGCGCUGUAUGUAGAGGUUAAGUCUAAGGGUGUACUAUGACUGUUUUGCUAGCAAAGGCUGCUGUAACACCCCUAAUAUAUAUAUAUAUAUAUAUAUAUAUAUAUAUAUAUGUAUAGGAUAAUGCUUGGUGAAAAACCCCACUUUCUUAAGAAACUUAGCAAACUAUAUUUGUGGCUAUGAUGUUGCCACGUUUGAUCUGAUAUCAUGAGUGUAACUUUUAAAUGAAGGUUAUAUUAGUAAUUUUCUUUACCCCCCUAAGAAUUAUGAGAUGACCUCUUCAUUUAAUGCCCAUCAGAUCGUACAUUCACAAUCCCCCAUAUUUAUUUUCCAUAUUUCCCUUUUGCCUUUUAUCUCUUCUUCCUCACUCAUCAGAGAAUUUUCAAUCUUCAUACUUACACCAAAGUAGCAAGCAUCUCCAUUAAUAUCAAUGGAGACAAAUCCACCAACCUCUGAAUUAAUGUCGCCGGUCCGUAGUUUCCCAAACCUGUUCUUUUGCAGCGACUUCCAAAACGAUGAGGUUUUGGUGUUUUUAUUUUCAUGAAAGAAAUCAAAGAAUCAAGAUGCUGUCAAAAUGCUUGAAUUAAUGUUACCAGAGUUUGGCAUCAAGUUUGACAACGACAAUGAAGAAAAUGUUUCAGGAUGGUGAUGGAUACAAGGGAAACAAGAUCCAAUUCUCGGGACCGUUGGUUUUGUCAAACGUGGAUCAGAUGCUUAAGGAUCAUGACCAUGUUUAUGUUACAGCACAACACAACUAACACGUGUUAUAGUUUGAACUUCAUUACAUGCAUGUGUUACAUGGGACAUGAAACCCAUGUACAACGUAACACGUAUUAGUGCUAUGUAUUUUUGUUUACUAGUAAUAUGUAAUGUGAGACUCUUCUUGUUUUCUCUAGUACACGAUGUUAAAACGGUCUAGACUUAACACAUUUUCUGUUGGAGGC